This 780-nucleotide ribosomal RNA is filed under the name uncultured cyanobacterium. Its description in RNAcentral is "bacterial SSU rRNA". It matches the Rfam family "Bacterial small subunit ribosomal RNA", at positions 42 to 864 of the family's 1533-position model. Lineage: Bacteria; Bacillati; Cyanobacteriota. The record is from RNAcentral.
GCGUGCCUACACAUGCAAGUCGAACGGGAAUCUUCGGAUUCUAGUGGCGGACGGGUGAGUAACGCGUAAGAAUCUAACUUCAGGACGGGGACAACAGUUGGAAACGACUGCUAAUACCCGAUGUGCCGAAAGGUGAAACCUAAUUGGCCUGAAGAAGAGCUUGCGUCUGAUUAGCUAGUUGGUGGGGUAAGAGCCUACCAAGGCGACGAUCAGUAGCUGGUCUGAGAGGAUGAGCAGCCACACUGGGACUGAGACACGGCCCAGACUCCUACGGGAGGCAGCAGUGGGGAAUUUUCCGCAAUGGGCGAAAGCCUGACGGAGCAACGCCGCGUGAGGGAGGAAGGUCUUUGGAUUGUAAACCUCUUUUCUCAAGGAAGAAGUUCUGACGGUACUUGAGGAAUCAGCCUCGGCUAACUCCGUGCCAGCAGCCGCGGUAAUACGGGGGAGGCAAGCGUUAUCCGGAAUUAUUGGGCGUAAAGCGUCCGCAGGUGGUCAGCCAAGUCUGCCGUCAAAUCAGGUUGCUUAACGACCUAAAGGCGGUGGAAACUGGCAGACUAGAGAGCAGUAGGGGUAGCAGGAAUUCCCAGUGUAGCGGUGAAAUGCGUAGAGAUUGGGAAGAACAUCGGUGGCGAAAGCGUGCUACUGGGCUGUAUCUGACACUCAGGGACGAAAGCUAGGGGAGCGAAAGGGAUUAGAUACCCCUGUAGUCCUAGCCGUAAACGAUGGGAUACUAGGCGUGGCUUGUAUCGACCCGAGCCGUGCCGAAGCUAACGCGUUAAG